RNAcentral lists this ribosomal RNA (508 nucleotides) under uncultured fungus. Its description in RNAcentral is "SSU rRNA". It matches the Rfam family "Eukaryotic small subunit ribosomal RNA", at positions 569 to 1078 of the family's 1831-position model. Lineage: Eukaryota; Fungi. The record is from RNAcentral.
AGCAGCCGCGGUAAUUCCAGCUCCAAUAGCGUAUAUUAAAGUUGUUGCAGUUAAAAAGCUCGUAGUUGAAUUUCGGGAUCAAUUUAUCGGUCGUGCCAAUGGUAUGAACUGGUACAAUUGGUUUCUCCCUUCUGACGAAGCAUGAUGUCAUUAAUUUGGUGUCGUGGGGAAUCAGGACUGUUACUUUGAAAAAAUUAGAGUGUUUAAAGCAAGCAUUAGCUUGAAUACAUUAGCAUGGAAUAGUGAAAUAGGACGUUUGAUCCUAUUUCGUUGGUUUCUAGGAUCGACGUAAUGAUUAAUAGGGAUAGUUGGGGGCAUUAGUAUUCAAUUGUCAGAGGUGAAAUUCUUGGAUUUAUUGAAGACUAACUACUGCGAAAGCAUUUGCCAAGGAUGUUUUCAUUAAUCAAGAACGAAAGUUAGGGGAUCGAAGACGAUCAGAUACCGUCGUAGUCUUAACCAUAAACUAUGCCGACUAGGGAUCGGAUGAUGUUAAUUUUUUAAUGACUCA